AGGUUUCUCCAACACACCACUCACCUAUCCAAAAAAUGCAGCAAGUAUAUACUUCCUCUCCAUAAGAUCAUCCAUUUCAGGAUAUAGUUCAAAAGUAUAUGUACAUAACAAAAAAUAUAUAAUUUGUAAGGUUGAGUCUAAUAUAUGUAGGGCUAUACCAUAUUAUAAAAACAAAAGAAAAAUAAGGUUCAACACUCAGCUCAAAAGAUAAAUUAGAACUGCUCAAAAGAUAAAUUAACAUGCUAUAGAUCUAAAGCUACCAUUCAAUGUCUGCACUGAUAGCAGAACAAAAAAUACACAUACACUCUUUAUAGUAUCGUAUAUUUUAAGCAUUAAAGGUAUAAAAGAUGGAUUUUAUUGGAAGCUUUAAUGGUAUAAAAAUCAUACCUUUUACCUUUGACAAACGUGAUGAAAGAUUUUAAGCGUUUAAGGUUGAAAACAUAUAUUUGAAGUGUUAUGGCUAGAAAAAUAUGAUUUUAAUCGUCGUAAAACAUACCAAAAGAUGACAAAUCAGACCUUUUUAUCGUAAACGGUGACAAUGAAAGAUUGUAAGCGUGAAAACAUAGAUUUUAAGCGUUAAACCUAGAAAACACAGAUUUUAAUCGUCGUAAAACUUACGAAAAGAUUUAAAAUCAGACCUUUUUACCGUAAACGACGGCAAUGAAAGAUUGUAAGCGUGAAAACAUAGAUUUUAAUCCGGUGUCCAUAUCAGUGUCUAUACUUAUAAUCAAUAUAAGGACAUAACUAAACAUUAAAAGGUAACAUUUGAGUUAAAGAUGUAGGUAAGAAAAAUGGUAAAAUCAAUUUUGCAGAUUUUUUUUCCAAAGAUAGAAUGAAUGGUUAAGUAAAUAUACAAUUAAAAUGGUAAAAUAAAAUCAUCUUUUUGGACUGUCUUUUUGCACCAUAGCUUCUAAUGUUGAUGGAAAGCCACAACAACAUUUAAUCAAACACAUGGUGUGCAUAUAGAAAAUGAAAGUGAUGAGUAAAAUGAAUAAACAAAACAGAAAAAUAAAAUAAAUAAAGAAGAAGAACAACAACUAAAUUAUGUUUGAUAACCCUUUUCUAAAUUCUGAUUGAAAAAUUAAACAAUAAAAAAGAAAGAAAAAUCAAAUAUCUAGAAUGAACAUUUUGUCAAACACAUGGUGUGCAUGUAUAAAAUUGCAAUAAAACAACAUAAAGUUUACGAAAAUUCACAACAACAUUUUAUCAAACACAUGAUGUGCAAAUAUAAAACUGAAGUAGAACAACAAAAAAUUAAAAGAAUUAAAAGAGGAGUAAAUCCAACGCGGAAAAGAAACAAAACAAAUUAAUAAGAGAAAAUCAAAUACCCAUGUAGUUCUUCUUCUUCUUUCUCUCGUGUAGAACAAAGCUUUGAUUUCUUCAACACAAAAUAACGCACGAAAAAAUUGAAACAACAAAUCAUCAAACAAACUUAGUUUUAUAACAAAAAACAAACAAAAAUAAUGAAAAAAAUGAAGAAAUACUAGUGCAUACGAAAAUUUGAAAACGUAACCGCUUCGUACAUGGAUCUUUUUUCUACCGUCUCCCGCAGCCAUGUUUUCUUUCUCCAUAACAAAUCUGGCGAUGCAAGAGAUGAAGAAUGAGAAGUGAGAAGAAUGAGAAAAAAGAGAGAGAUGUUUACGGUAAAGAGAGAUAAGAGAUAGAUUUGAGUUUUUUU
Molecule: long non-coding RNA, 1678 nt
Filed under: Trifolium pratense (red clover)
Lineage: Eukaryota; Viridiplantae; Streptophyta; Magnoliopsida; Fabales; Fabaceae
Description: long non-coding RNA (TPRA_LNC007078)
Source: RNAcentral